GGGUCCGUAGCCUAGUCUGGAUAAGGCGCCGGCCUUCGGAGCCGGAGACCGGGGGUCCAAAUCCCCUCGGACCCGCCA
Molecule: transfer RNA, 78 nt
Filed under: Candidatus Bathyarchaeota archaeon
Lineage: Archaea; Thermoproteati; Candidatus Bathyarchaeota
Description: tRNA-Arg
Rfam family: tRNA
About the family: Transfer RNA (tRNA) molecules are approximately 80 nucleotides in length.
Source: RNAcentral